UCCGGCGUAGCUCAGUGGUAGAGCGGCUCGCUGUUAACGAGAUGGUCGUAGGUUCGAAUCCUGCCGCCGGAGCCA
This 75-nucleotide transfer RNA is filed under the name Patescibacteria group bacterium. RNAcentral's name for it is "tRNA-Asn". It matches the Rfam family "tRNA". From Rfam's summary of the family: Transfer RNA (tRNA) molecules are approximately 80 nucleotides in length. The record is from RNAcentral.